Molecule: long non-coding RNA, 442 nt
Organism: Xiphophorus couchianus (Monterrey platyfish)
Lineage: Eukaryota; Metazoa; Chordata; Actinopteri; Cyprinodontiformes; Poeciliidae
Exons: 4
Source: RefSeq, a predicted model, not a curated record
ACAUGUUGCUAGCUGGUGUCUAUGCAAAUUAAGAUGAAAGAGGAAGCCAGUGAACAAGAAUUAGAAAACCUAAAGACUUUCCUGUCUCAGAAGAGGCUCUGGCUCCACCAGAUCACCAACCAGUUCUGAGGAUGAACCUCCACAUCGUCUUCCUGGUGGAAGGCUCUUUGUUUUUUUACACUGAGCAGCUGGCCACAUUUUUAACAGCAAAAACUGGGCCCUGUGAUGGACUGGUGACCUGUCCAGGGUGAACCCCGCCUCUCAUCUGAUGACUGCUAGAGACGGGCACCACCAGCCCCCCUCACCACCAUUCAAGGAUCAACGUGUUCAGAUCAUGGACGGAAAGAUUUUAAGGCAAAGAAGUCACCCAGAAAUGUUUUUCCACCCCAGGCAUCCGGUCCCAAUCAUUACCAGUUCUGAUGAUGCCACAUACAUAGCGAGU